CUCAAAGUGGUGACUGUAGCCUGGCAGAAUGCCAGCAUUCCUGGCAGUCUUGGACACAUCAUUUGUAUGUGUGUGAGUGUGUGAGUGUCUGUGUUUGCGCGUGUUUGUGUGUACGCUCGCUUAGCCGUGUGUGCGUAGGUGGAAAUGGUAAUAUUUGAUUUCGCACAUUAAUUUGUGUUUGUCACAUAUUAGCAAAACACAUGUUACUCUUACCAAAAUCAUAUGCUCGCACACUUGCAAUUACUCCCACAAACACACACAGGGGUGAGUGCGGCAGGUUCUCUUGCUGUCAGGUCUUGCCCAUUCAUCCACACAACUUCCCUGUGGAAUACCACAUAAUGAGUCCGUGUCAUGUAGGUACACAUAACUUGAAGUAUACAUCUACAUUCAUCACAUGCAUAAUGCAUGUACACAUUAUUAACUUUUAUCAUUAUGCAUAUAUACAUAAUUAUACAAGAGUCUAAUCCUUUACAUGAGUGAUCAGUCAUACAUACAAGGGCUGAGUUCAGAGCCAUUAACACUAAAACAUUUUUUUAAAGGAAAUUGUAUUUGAAAAUGUAUUUUUUGGGUUACUAAAUGUGUGUUUUUUGGGGUUGUUUUUUUUACACAAACAUAGAAUUUAUAUUGGUUCAUAAUGUUUUUUUGUUUUAUUAUUGUAUUAUUAUUAUUAUUAUUAUUAUUAUUUUUGUUAUUAUUAUUAUUGUUAUUAUUAUAUCCACCAUCAUUUCCACCACUUUCUGUCUUUUCCAGCUUUAGAUAAAAUGGAAAUAUAUAUAGCUUUUAUCUUUGGUUUUUAUUCAGGAUAUGAUGCGAUAGCAUUUUGGAAAUUCUUUAAAUGUGCAGGUGGCACUCCUCAGGCAGUCAGAUGAGGCCAGACAAGAGUCUGCAAGAAAGAGCCGAGAGGUGGAUGUGGAGAGAAGAAAGGCCCAGAUGCUUCAGGAGGCGUUACACAAGGAGCAGGAGAAGCUGCAGAGUGCUAUCAGAGAGAAUGAGACCCUGAGCACUGUCAUCGGAAAGCUGAGGAAAGAGCUGGAGGAGCUGCGCAGCAGUCACCGAGUGACAGUGGAGGAGUUGGCAGCCCGUGCAGAGGAGGUGAGGCGGAUGGAGGGGUGUCUGAAUGAAGGCAAGCUAGCAGAGGAGAAAAUAAGGUCAAUGGCUGCGGGGCUGAAGAAGGAGCUGACAGAGGCUGUCCAUCAGAAACUCACAGCAGAGAGAGAGAAACAGGAUGCACUGGACCAGGUGAUCACGCUCCGGUCAGAGCUGGAGGGGACGCGGUCCGACAAUGCAAAGCUUCUGCACGAGAGCCAGCUGGUCAUGACUAAUGUCAACCUUUGGAUCACUGAGCAAAAGGCUUCCAGUGAGAGCGUUAUUGCCCAGAUUAAAGCCCAAAACAAAGCUCUGCUCAUCAUCACUAAAGAGAAAGAAUGUCUUCAGGAGGCUAAUGACACACUGAAGGCGGAGGUAAAGAGACUGAAAGAAGCGGUGGAUGAGAAGGAGAAAGACAUGGAACUCUUCAAGGCCCGUCUCCGGGACUGGGGAGUACAGCAAGAAAGGAAAACCAUGGAAAAGAAGGGGUGCGUUGCUCUAAACCUCAGCAAAAUCGAGGACAUGCAGACCAGACUGCAAAGCAACCUGGAGGCCAUCGGAAUGCUAAAUCAACAAUUAGGCAAUCUCAGUCAGGAGAAUAAGCAGUUGCGUAGGCAGCUGGAAGAAGAGAGGUCCAUGCAUAGACAAGUGGAGAGGAGUGGGCCCCUUCCUCCUCCCUCUACAACCGCCAUCCACCUCCCACUCUCUCUCAGUGUCAGCCCUCCUAUCUGUGCCUCCCUUCCCUCAUCCCAGGGCCUGCCUCGUCUUCUGAGCAUAGUCCCAGUGACAGGGGACACUAAUGGGACUCAAACCAAGCCGAGUACAGUCGGAGUAGAGAGACCAGCUGAUGGUCUGACAGAAAUAGAAGGGGCGUCAAGAGUCACCACGGCAGACAGAUCGCUUCAGGCUGUGGCACACACCACCUGAACUGCCUGCGCAUGUAUGCUUGUGUGUAUGUGUGUGUGUAUGUGUGUGUGAGCAUGCAUGAUUUUGUUGUACAGCCAUUAAAGCAUACUAUCAAUCAAAAAACAUCAUUAAAGUUUGUAUUUUAAAUAAAUGAUUUUAUUAAAACAUAAUUACUGAAGCACUGGUGUAAUAUAUAUUAUUUCCAGUAAAGGACAGGAGGGUGUGCGCUCGCCACACAUCAUGGUCCAGCUAAUUCUGGGAGAUUACAUUUGGGUCAUUUUGAAACAGCUCUCUUGUGGUAGUUUUGUAGCAGAAUAAUUUAUCAAAACAUUUUAUGCUGUCCCCCAAUUGAUUGUGACCAGCACUAAAAGAUGCAAUACUUAGGCAUGCAGUAUGCAUGAAAUUAUGCUAAUGCAUAACACUAGCGUUCAUAUGCAUCUGCAUAUUGAUAUAUACAGUAUCUUUUACCUGAUUACAUUAAAUCUAAUAAGUGUAGACAAACACCGAGUGAUUCAAAAUAGACAUAAAAUACAGAGCACCUGCCUUUUCCUUAUUGCGCUUUUUAAUAUAAUAAAGUAUAUAUGUGAUAUAUAGUAUA
This 2590-nucleotide long non-coding RNA is filed under the name Oreochromis niloticus (Nile tilapia). Its description in RNAcentral is "lncRNA (ENSONIG00000023925.2)". Lineage: Eukaryota; Metazoa; Chordata; Actinopteri; Cichliformes; Cichlidae. The record is from RNAcentral.